UCGGAGAGUUUGAUCCUGGCUCAGGAUGAACGCUGGCGGCGUGCCUUACACAUGCAAGUCGAGCGAGAAUUUUUUGAUGGGGCAACCCAUUGGGAAGUUCUAGCGGCAAACGGGUGAGUAAUGGAUGGGUAACCUACCCUAAAGACGGGGAUAGCCUUCUGAAAAGAAGGGUAAUACCCGAUAAUGUUGACAGACUUAGGUUUGUCAAAGAAAGAUGGCCUCUGUUUCAUGCUAUCACUUUUGGACGGGCUCAUCUCCUAUCAGCUAGUUGGUGAGGUAAUGGCUUACCAAGGCAACGACGGGUAGCUGGUCUGAGAGGAUGGACAGCCACAUUGGGACUGAGACACGGCCCAGACUCCUACGGGAGGCAGCAGUGGGGAAUAUUGGUCAAUGGGCGAAAGCCUGAACCAGCGACGUCGCGUGGAGGAUGGAGGCCGCAAGGUUGUAAACUCCUUUUAUUAAGGAAAAAGGGAUAGAUCUCAAAUAGGGAACUAUUCUUGAUGGUACUUUUUGAAUAAGCCCCAGCUAACUACGUGCCAGCAGCUGCGGUAAUACGUAGGGGGCGAGCGUUAUCCGGAAUUACUGGGUGUAAAGGGUAUGCAGGCGGAUUGACAAGUUGGAUGUAAAAACUCAGAGCUUAACUCUGAGCUCGCAUUCAAAACUGUUGAUCUAGAGAGCAGUAGAGGGAAGUGGAAUUCCAGGUGUAGCGGUAAAAUGCUUAGAUAUCUGGAAGAACACCAGUGGCGAAAGCGGCUUCCUGGGCUGUCUCUGACGCUCAUAUACGAAAGCUAGGGGAGCAAACAGGAUUAGAUACCCUGGUAGUCCUAGCCGUAAACGAUGGAUGCUUGGUGUUGGGGAGGUUGCUUCUCAGUGCCGGAGCUAACGUGUUAAGCAUCCCACCUGGGAAGUACGGCCGCAAGGUUAAAACUCAAAGGAAUUGACGGGGCCCCGCACAAGCAGCGAGGCAUGUGGUUUAAUUCGAUGCUACACGAAGAACCUUACCUGGGCUUGACAUGCACGAGAAAGCUGGAAGAAACUCCGGCCCUCUCAGAGAGUAAUCUCUGUUACCCGUGCACAGGUGCUGCAUGGUUGUCGUCAGCUCGUGUCGUGAGAUGUACGGUUAAGUCCGUGAACGAGCGCAACCCCUAUCCCUAGUUGCUAAUAGGCUUCGGCCUAUGCACUUUAGGGAGACUGCCAGCGGAAAGCUGGAGGAAGGUGGGGAUGACGUCAAAUCCUCAUGGCCUUUAUGUCCAGGGCUACACACAUGCGACAAUGGUCCAUACAAAGUGUUGCUAACCAGUAAUGGGGAGCUAAUCGCAAAAAGUGGACCUCAGUACGGAUUGAGGGUUGCAAUUCACCCUCAUGAAGCUGGAGUUGCUAGUAACCGCAGGUCAGCUAUACUGCGGUGAAUGCGUUCCCGGGGCUUGUACACACCGCCCGUCACACCACCCGAGUUGUGUGUACCCGAAGUGGCUCUGUGAGUCACGAAGGUGUGCAUGAUAAGGAGGGUGAAGUCGUAACAAGGUAGGUGUACGAGAACGUGCGCCUGGAUCACCUCCUUUCUAG
RNAcentral lists this ribosomal RNA (1566 nucleotides) under Caldisericota bacterium. RNAcentral's name for it is "bacterial SSU rRNA". It matches the Rfam family "Bacterial small subunit ribosomal RNA". The record is from RNAcentral. Lineage: Bacteria; Pseudomonadati; Caldisericota.